GACUGAGGGCGAUCUGUCUGUGACAUAUGUCACCCCCUGCUCGCCAGCGUUGGUUGAUUCAGAGGAUCUGGCUGGCUGGGGGCGUCCUCUUCCUCCCUCACCGCUC
Molecule: small RNA, 106 nt
Filed under: Meriones unguiculatus (Mongolian gerbil)
Lineage: Eukaryota; Metazoa; Chordata; Mammalia; Rodentia; Muridae
Description: 7SK RNA (ENSMUGG00000006439.1)
Rfam family: 7SK RNA
About the family: 7SK was discovered as an abundant small nuclear RNA in the mid-70s but a possible function has only recently been suggested. Two independent studies have found that 7SK RNA binds the CDK9/cyclin T complex (known as elongation factor P-TEFb).
Source: RNAcentral